AAAAUUUAUAGUGUGACAUGUUUUCAAGACGCACACGAAGCUCUAGGAGUACAUUGUAAAAUGAGAGAAUGACAGAAGUAAGGAAAGAAUUCACUAAAU
Molecule: long non-coding RNA, 99 nt
Organism: Biomphalaria glabrata
Lineage: Eukaryota; Metazoa; Mollusca; Gastropoda; Planorbidae
Exons: 2
Source: RefSeq, a predicted model, not a curated record